UUGGAGGGCAAGUCUGGUGCCAGCAGCCGCGGUAAUUCCAGCUCCAAUAGCGUAUAUUAAAGUUGUUGCAGUUAAAAAGCUCGCAGUUGAAUUUCGGGGUCAGUAGGUUGGUCAUGCCACUGGUAUGUACUGGUCUCACUGAUUCCUCCUUCCUGAUGAACUGUAAUGCCAUUAAUUUGGUGUUGCAGGGAAUCUGGACUGUUACUUUGAAAAAAUUAGAGUGUUUAAAGCAGGCUAACGCCUGAAUACAUUAGCAUGGAAUAAUGAAAUAGGACGUUCGAUCCUAUUUUGUUGGUUUCUAGGAUUGACGUAAUGAUUAAUAGGGAUAGUUGGGGGCAUUAGUAUUCAAUUGUCAGAGGUGAAAUUCUUGGAUUUAUUGAAGACUAACUACUGCGAAAGCAUUUGCCAAGGAUGUUUUCAUUAAUCAAGAACGAAAGUUAGGGGAUCGAAGACGAUCAGAUACCGUCGUAGUCUUAACCAUAAACUAUGCCGACUAGGGAUCGGAUGAUGUUAAUUUUUUAAUGACUCAUUCGGCGCCUUACGGGAAAC
RNAcentral lists this ribosomal RNA (549 nucleotides) under uncultured Glomeromycotina. RNAcentral's name for it is "SSU rRNA". It matches the Rfam family "Eukaryotic small subunit ribosomal RNA", at positions 548 to 1098 of the family's 1831-position model. Lineage: Eukaryota; Fungi; Glomeromycota. The record is from RNAcentral.